GGGGGGGGGGGGCAGAACUUAAAGUCUAAGAGAGUGUGCAAGUGAAGAACAGAGUUUUAGGGAAAUAAAGGAGAGAGAAAUAGCUACAAACAGGUACACGAAAGGGGUUUAGGGGAAUAGGGAAGUUGCAAAGAGUCUAUUUCUUAGGCAAGAGUAAACUUUAGGCAUGCCCAACAAUGAAGGAUGCUGGCAUUCCUAUAAGCCUGCCAGAACACACAGUAUUAGAGGCUAGGAUCCCAGGGGAUCAAGUUUGAGUCAUGGGCAGUAAUUUCAGUAUUGCCAUGCCUCAAACGUAGCAUGAAUACAUAGGGGUAGGGGAUUAAGGUUCGGAGUAAAUCCAGAAAAGGUAGAUGGAAAUGCUAAAAUAUGCACUGAUCUAAACAUAAGAAACAUAUAGACAAGAGAGUAAAAGUAUUAAGUAAACACAUUAGGGUAAUGCUAGAAUGUUAACCAGAACAUACCAGUUCACAGAAGAAAAAUGCAGUAAAAGCGGGUAGCAAGUCUUGGGAAACAGGCCACAGUAUAAGUAACAAGAGAGAAUGCUUUUUGAAUGUGAGUGUGAGUUCAAAAAACUAAGAGUGUUCAUGUGUUUGUGUUAAUAAGAAGCCAAGUAUUUAUAUUUUGAAAAUAGAUAGAAAGUAAGGCAAGAAUCAUAGUAAUUAUGGAACUAUGUACCAAUUACAAUCAAUCAAUAUAAGAACUUCCUUUAAUUAAGGAGUUUAAACUUAAACGGUAGUGGACAUAAAUCACUUAAGGAAAGAAUUCAAGUAAACAUCUUGUGUAAAGUAGGCAAUUAGGGGCAAAUACAUAGGGGUUUAACUAAGGGAAACAUUAAUGAAGAAUGUUGAAAUGCACGGUUAGCCAAAUAAGGCAAGAAACACAAUAAAUCAAUUAGUUUGUAGUAAAUCAAGAAGUUAGGGAUUCAGAGUUACAAAUAAACCAAGUCAGAAAUAGGAGAAUCGAAAUGCUAAGGAAAGUUUUCAAAUCAACCUAAGAAACAGGGAAAAACAAGGAAAAAAUCAAUCAGACUUACACAAGCAGGUCUGAAAUCAGUCCAAAAUUAAAAGUUAUUUUAGAGGGACAUUCAACGUAUAAAAAGAGUGCACAAACAUUAGGCAUGCAAGGUUAAACCACGACAAAGAGAAGCAACAAUAAUAGCUACGAAGUCUGUAGAUAGUGAAAUAUGGUAGUCACAUAAGUCGACUUAGUAAUAAGGAGAAGAUGGUAUCAGAAGCAUGAAAAAGAGUCAAGUAAAAGACCUUUCUGGAAAGUAUAGCUUCGUUCAAAGAUUGCAAGAAACCAAAUCACACAGAAGUUGAAACAACAAGGACUUUGAAUCCGGUCGAGCAACUUCAAAUAGACGAAGCAGUUUUCAAAAGCUCGAAUAAGUCCAAAAGAAUUAGGGCUUUGAAAUUAAACAAAUUUAGAGAUGAGGACCAUGCAAAUCACAUAGAAAAUAACCUCAGAACUCGAAUGAACCCUAAAUCUUAGGGUUUUUGCCAUCAAUCAAGUGUAGAGAUGAAAGACAAGUAAUUAAGCAAAUACUAACACGAAAAUAUUCAGAAACCUCAAAAGAAACUAAUAUUCUUGACAUGCAAAUUCUAGUAAAAGAACGACAUAAAGAAACACAGUAAGAGAAACACAUAAGAAACACAGUAGAAGAACAACACAAGAAACACAGUAGAAGAACAACAUAAGAAACACGGUAGAACAUGUUAAAAUCAGAAAAGCUUUCAAAUAGAUUAACAAAAUCAUCGAUCGGAAAAAAUAAAGGUUUCGAAAAUAGAGUUUUUGAAGAAAAUCUCGAGAAAAUAUUUAAAAGCUUAAAGAAAACACAGAUCUACAACAGAUCUAAAAGAAUUAGAAAAACCUCGAAGGUUAGGAUUUCAGAAGAACCCAGAUGGUGAGAAAGACUUGGAAAGUCAUCGAUAUAAGCAGGAGAAGUCAAGAUCAGGUUUGAACAUCCAUGGCUGGUCGGAGCAAGGUCGGAGACAGCCAUAGAACUUGAAUGAUACAAGUAUGGGCCAAGCUUGUUCAAGGUCUGACCUUGAAACCACGGUUAUCAGGCGUAUAUGAGUCAUAGGAGGCUGGUACAAGCCUUUAAUGGCUUUGGAAACCAUGGAUUCAGGCAAUUUUUGGGUGGAAGUGGAGGCGGCUAGGGUUUCUGAGAGGAGCUUGAGAGAGAAUUUGGAGAAGGGGAGAAUUCAAUGGCGG
This 2214-nucleotide long non-coding RNA is filed under the name Nicotiana benthamiana. RNAcentral describes it as "long non-coding RNA (NBEN_LNC010127)". The record is from RNAcentral. Lineage: Eukaryota; Viridiplantae; Streptophyta; Magnoliopsida; Solanales; Solanaceae.